AACGUACGCUGGCGGCACGCCUAACACAUGCAAGUCGAACGAAGUAGCAAUACUUAGUGGCAGACGGGUGAGUAACAUGUGGGUAUCUGCCCUUUGGCCUGGAAUAACACGAGGAAACUUGUGCUAAUACCGGAUAAGUCUUUACGGAGAAAGCUUUAUGCACCAUUGGAUGAGCCCGCACUUGAUUAGUUUGUUGGUGGGGUAAUGGCUUACCAAGACUGUGAUCAAUAGCUGAUUUGAGAGGAUGAUCAGCCACAUUGGGACUGAGACACGGCCCAAACUCCUACGGGAGGCAGCAGUGGGGAAUCUUGCACAAUGGAGGAAACUCUGAUGCAGCGAUGCCGCGUGAGUGAAGAAGGCCCUUGGGUUGUAAAGCUCUUUCGUCGGGGAAGAAAAUGACUGUACCCGAAUAAGAAGGUCCGGCUAACUUCGUGCCAGCAGCCGCGGUAAUACGAAGGGACCUAGCGUAGUUCGGAAUUACUGGGCUUAAAGAGUUCGUAGGUGGUUGAAAAAGUUAGUGGUGAAAUCCCAGAGCUUAACUCUGGAACUGCCAUUAAAACUUUUCAGCUAGAGUAUGAUAGAGGAAAGCAGAAUUUCUAGUGUAGAGGUGAAAUUCGUAGAUAUUAGAAAGAAUACCAAUUGCGAAGGCAGCUUUCUGGAUCAUUACUGACACUGAGGAACGAAAGCAUGGGUAGCGAAGAGGAUUAGAUACCCUCGUAGUCCAUGCCGUAAACGAUGUGUGUUAGACGUUGGAAAUUUAUUUUCAGUGUCGCAGCGAAAGCGAUAAACACACCGCCUGGGGAGUACGACCGCAAGGUUAAAACUCAAAUGAAUUGACGGGGACCCGCACAAGUAGUGGAGCAUGUGGUUUAAUUCGAAGAUACGCGCAGAACCUUACCAACACUUGACAUGUUCGUCGCGACUCUAAGAGAUUAGAGUUUUCGGUUCGGCCGGACGAAACACAGGUGCUGCAUGGCUGUCGUCAGCUCGUGUCGUGAGAUGUUGGGUUAAGUCCCGCAACGAGCGCAACCCUCACUUUUAGUUGCCAUCAUUAAGUUGGGCACUCUGAAAGAACUGCCAGUGAUAAGCUGGAGGAAGGUGGGGAUGACGUCAAGUCCUCAUGGCCCUUACGUGUUGGGCUACACACGUGCUACAAUGGUAUCUACAACAGGAAGCAAGACUGCGAAGUUAAGCAAAUCCCUAAAAGAUACCUCAGUUCGGAUUGCACUCUGCAACUCGAGUGCAUGAAGCUGGAAUUACUAGUAAUCGUGGAUCAGCGUGCCACGGUGAAUGCGUUCCCGGGUCU
RNAcentral lists this ribosomal RNA (1306 nucleotides) under uncultured bacterium. RNAcentral's name for it is "bacterial SSU rRNA". It matches the Rfam family "Bacterial small subunit ribosomal RNA", at positions 28 to 1381 of the family's 1533-position model. The record is from RNAcentral.